UACGGAGGGUGCAAGCGUUGUCCGGAAUCACUGGGCGUAAAGGGCGCGUAGGCGGCUCAUAAAGGCUGUGGUGAAAGUUCGGGGCUCAACCUCGAAUCGGCCGUGGCGACUUGUGGGCUGGAGCACUGUAGAGGCGGGUGGAAUUCCGGGUGUAGCGGUGGAAUGCGUAGAGAUCCGGAAGAACACCAGUGGCGAAGGCGGCCCGCUGGGCAGUGGCUGACGCUGAGGCGCGACAGCGUGGGGAGCAAACAGG
Molecule: ribosomal RNA, 253 nt
Filed under: uncultured bacterium
Lineage: Bacteria
Also listed under: 1 other name
Description: partial 16S ribosomal RNA
Rfam family: Bacterial small subunit ribosomal RNA
Source: RNAcentral